CCUACGGGUGGCAGCAGUGAGGAAUAUUGGUCAAUGGGCGGAAGCCUGAACCAGCCAAGUAGCGUGCAGGAUGACGGCCCUACGGGUUGUAAACUGCUUUUAUACGGGAAUAACGCGCCUUACGUGUAGGGCUUUGCAUGUACCGUAUGAAUAAGGAACGGCUAAUUCCGUGCCAGCCGCCGCGGUAAUACGGAAGGUCCGGGCGUUAUCCGGGUUUAUUGGGGUUAAAGGGAGUGUAGGCCGCAUGUCAAGCGUGCUGUGAAAUGUCCGGGCCCAACCCGGGCCUGGCAGCGCGAACUGGCGUGCUUGAGUCGGCGGAAAGCAGGCGGAAGUCGUCGUGUAGCGGUGAAAUGCUUAGAUAUGACGAAGAACCCCGAUUGCGAAGGCAGCUUGCUGCAGCGGAACUGACGCUGAUGCUCGAAAGCGCGGGUAUCGAACAGGAUUAGAUACCCCGGUAGUC
This 460-nucleotide ribosomal RNA is filed under the name uncultured bacterium. RNAcentral's name for it is "partial 16S ribosomal RNA". It matches the Rfam family "Bacterial small subunit ribosomal RNA", at positions 338 to 795 of the family's 1533-position model. The record is from RNAcentral.